Molecule: ribosomal RNA, 422 nt
Filed under: uncultured bacterium
Lineage: Bacteria
Description: bacterial SSU rRNA
Rfam family: Bacterial small subunit ribosomal RNA
Source: RNAcentral
UGAGGAAUAUUGGUCAAUGGACGGAAGUCUGAACCAGCCAUGCCGCGUGAAGGAUGAAGGCGUUCUGCGUUGUAAACUUCUUUUAUCUGGGAAGAAACCACAGAUUUCUAUUUGUGUUGACGGUACCAGAUGAAUAAGCACCGGCUAACUCCGUGCCAGCAGCCGCGGUAAUACGGAGGGUGCGAGCGUUAUCCGGAUUUACUGGGUUUAAAGGGUGCGUAGGCGGGCUAUUAAGUCAGAGGUGAAAUCUCCGGGCUCAACCUGGAAACUGCCUUUGAUACGAUUAGCCUUGAAUUAUGUUGAGGUGGGCGGAAUAUAUCAUGUAGCGGUGAAAUGCUUAUAUAUGUUAUGGAACACCGAUUGCGAAGGCAGCUGGCUAAACAUAUAUUGACGCUGAUGCACGAAAGCGUGGGUAGCGAACA